This is a long non-coding RNA of Neofelis nebulosa (Clouded leopard), 1067 nucleotides long. RefSeq lists it as uncharacterized. NCBI's taxonomy places the organism in Eukaryota, Metazoa, Chordata, Mammalia, Carnivora, Felidae. The record is from RefSeq and is a predicted model, not a curated record. The transcript has 2 exons.
GUGAUAGAGGCUGUGAUAGGGCCGUGACAGACUGUGAUAGAGGCUGUGACAGGCUGAUACAGGGGCUGGGACAAAACUGAGACAGAAUCUACGAUAGAGGCUCUGACAGGGGCUAGGACAGAGUCUGUGACAGGGGUUGUGACAGAGUCUGUGACAGAGGCCAUGACAGAAGCUGUGACAGGGGCUAUGACAGGGGCUGUGAUAGGAGCUGUGGCUGUGACAGGAGCUGUGAUGGGGGCUAUGACAGAGACUCUAACAGGAGCUAUGACAGAGGCUGUGACAGAGGCUGUAACAGGGGCUGCGACAGGGGCUGUGACAGGUAUUGUGACAAAGGCUGCGGCAGGUACUAUGACAGAUGCUGCCACAGUGCUGUGACAAAGGCUGAGACAGGGACGGUGAGAGAGCCCGGGACAGAAAUGUGACUAAGUCUGGAACCACAAUCAGAGUUGGGACAACAGCUCCCGGAGCCCAGGCCUACACUCCCACGGUUGACAGAGCAGUUGGCGGUGACAGCAGCAACACAGCAAACACAUGGGCCCAGCCAGGCCCAGGCACUUGUGGAACUGCCAACAGGCUGAAGCUGCCACAGGAGAGCGAAAGGGGGUGAGUGAGGCCGGUUCCUAGCCCCCUGCCGUGGGUUCCUGUGUGUCCAUGGGAGAAGGUCCAUGAUGCCAUGAGAAUCCCAAAGGCAUCUGUGACUCACAAGACAGUAAAGCCCCUGACUCAGGUCCUUGGAGGAAGAAGUGCCUCCUGCUGGGCUGUGCCCUCCCGCGAGACCCGGUCUGCCCCCCCUCUGGGUUUCUUCCACUGCUAUGGCUCUGCAGGCAGACUGUCCCCAGAGCCAUCUGGAGCUGUGUGCCUCGCUGCUCACCUGGACACAGCGCUGCGCCUCUAUCGACUGCCCUAGUUAAGAGCUGUUGAGCUGACUGCAGAGACCAAGUCUGCACCUGCCCCCUCCAGAGGUGGCCAGGCUUUGAGGUGGGGUAUAAGCAAAAGCCCUCUGAAUCUCUGGGCUUGCAGGAAGGAGCAGGAGUCCUGGAGCCAAAAAAGACGUGCACUUUACCUUG